Molecule: unclassified non-coding RNA, 192 nt
Filed under: uncultured fungus
Lineage: Eukaryota; Fungi
Description: sequence contains ITS1
Source: RNAcentral
UUAACUAUUAUAUAGUACUCAGACGACAUUAACAUAAGAGUUUGGGUCCUCUGGCAGGCGCGGGCCGGCCGGGGCCGGCGGUCCGAGGACGGGCCUGCCAAAGCAACAAAGGUAUGGUAGACAAAGGGUGGGAUGUAUACCCCGGGGGGCAACGUCUCUUUAAUGAUCCUUCCGCAGGUUCACCUACGGAAA